Molecule: ribosomal RNA, 871 nt
Filed under: uncultured archaeon
Lineage: Archaea
Description: bacterial SSU rRNA
Rfam family: Archaeal small subunit ribosomal RNA
Source: RNAcentral
GAUAACCUCCGGAAACUGGGGAUAAUUCCGGAUAGCGCAUAUUUGCUGGAAUGCUUUAUGCGUCAAAAGGAUUCGUCUGCCCAAGGAUGGGUCUGCGGCCUAUCAGGUAGUAGUGGGUGUAAUGUACCUACUAGCCAGCGACGGGUACGGGUUGUGAGAGCAAGAGCCCGGAGAUGGAUUCUGAGACAUGAAUCCAGGCCCUACGGGGCGCAGCAGGCGCGAAAACUUUACAAUGCGGGAAACUGUGAUAAGGGGACACCGAGUGCCAGCAUCAUAUGCUGGCUGUCCGGAUGUGUAAAAUACAUCCGUUAGCAAGGGCCGGGCAAGACCGGUGCCAGCUGCCGCGGUAACACCGGCGGCCCGAGUGGUGAUCGUGAUUAUUGGGUCUAAAGGGUCCGUAGCCGGUUUGGUCAGUCCUCCGGGAAAUCUGAUAGCUCAACUAUUAGGCUUUCGGGGGAUACUGCCAGACUUGGAACCGGGAGAGGUAAGAGGUACUACAGGGGUAGGAGUGAAAUCUUGUAAUCCCUGUGGGACCACCUGUGGCGAAGGCGUCUUACCAGAACGGGUUCGACGGUGAGGGACGAAAGCUGGGGGCACGAACCGGAUUAGAUACCCGGGUAGUCCCAGCCGUAAACGAUGCUCGCUAGGUGUCAGGCAUGGCGCGACCGUGUCUGGUGCCGCAGGGAAGCCGUGAAGCGAGCCACCUGGGAAGUACGGCCGCAAGGCUGAAACUUAAAGGAAUUGGCGGGGGAGCACAACAACGGGUGGAGCCUGCGGUUUAAUUGGACUCAACGCCGGACAACUCACCGGGGGCGACAGCAAUAUGUAGGCCAAGCUGAAGACUUUGCCUGAAUCGCUGAGAGGAGUGCAU